Molecule: long non-coding RNA, 999 nt
Organism: Alligator sinensis (Chinese alligator)
Lineage: Eukaryota; Metazoa; Chordata; Crocodylia; Alligatoridae
Exons: 2
Source: RefSeq, a predicted model, not a curated record
AUCAAGUCAGGGUACCUCCAACCGAGCUGGGGUACCUCUGAUCGAGCUCAGGGUGCCUCACACUGAGUCAGGAAGGCCUCAAAUCUACCCUGUGGUGCCUCAAACGCAGCCAGGGUAUCUUGAAUGAAGUCGGGGUACCUCCAAUCAUGCUGGGGUACCGCCGCUCGAGCUCAGGGUGCCUCACACUGAGUCAGGAGGGCCUCCAAUCUAGCCGGGGUGUUUUGAAUUGAGCUGGGGUACCUCCAGUUGAGCCAGGGGGUGCCUUGCACUGAGCCAGGAGUGCCUCAAAUCCAUCACGUGGCGCCUCCCAUCUAGCCAGGGGUGUUUUGAAUCUAGCCAGCAUGCCUCCAAUCCAGCUGGGGCGCCUCAAAUCCUAAAGGGCUGAGAAUCACUGCGCGAAGCCGUCAUUGUGGAUACUGGCAUUCCCUCCAUCCCCUCUAUUUACAGUCAGCAAACAUGACUCCAUGCUGAAACAGCGAAACAAUUUCCAGCCUUAUCAGAAGGAAGUGUGUGUGCGUGUGUGUGUGUUGUGGGGAACAACUAGUGAAAACACUGUGUUUCCUGCAGCGGCCCCGUUCCCAAGCUGGGAGAGCAGAGCCGACAGUCCUUACUGCACCGCCCAUGGAGUUAAUCUGAGACGCCGAGUGGUUUAUCGGAUUCUUGGACACAUCAUUAAGCAGCACGACGCAGCUCGCGCUCCUGCGAAGCUCAGGUUCACCAAUACACACACACGUAAGCUCCUUAAAUACAUUUUUUUUUUUAAUUUGGACGUUGAUAGCUCUGCAAAAUACUUCUCCCAGCCCCAGUCUUUUCCACAUUUCAUCUAUAAAUAAGUCAUCAGUCAACUUAGCUUUAAAAAAAAAAAACUCUUCUGAGUCUCAAAGAUCCAGUCUUUUGCUCUCCCUGAAGCCUCAUCUUGUUAGUUCUUUCACCACAAUACAAUGUACUCCAUAGCAUUUCCUUUUAGCUUAUCAAACAGUUUAAAAGAGGAAAAAAAAA